This 701-nucleotide long non-coding RNA is filed under the name Homo sapiens (human). RNAcentral's name for it is "non-protein coding lnc-CTAGE5-8:6". The record is from RNAcentral. Lineage: Eukaryota; Metazoa; Chordata; Mammalia; Primates; Hominidae.
ACUUGGCACCCCUUACGCCUUACGGUGGCCGCUGCGCCCAGUCACAUCUAUUGCAUUUCUCUGGAAUGACCACAGCAAUAUUUCCAGCCCUUGAUGAUCUUCUAGAACUUUGCCACUUCCCUGCAUCAAGAGAGCCAUGGAGAAGAGGAGACAGAGUGUGCAAGGGAAUGAAGAAAAGGAACAAGACUAUUUUCAAAUCACCCAUGGCACUACUAGAAAUGUAUUUCAGCAAAAGGACUGGCUGAUUUUAUGAUUCCUGUGUCCACCACAGCCCUCUAAUUUUUACAUAGGUACCCCACAUCUCUCUAGAUUUCAGGAAGACUAUUAUCCUUCGACUUUAGCUUUCUGAUGGGUUCACAAAAAGCCAUUAGUGUGCUGUUGGUCCAGCUUUUUUCUGUUGCAAAUAUGAGAGCUACAGUUCUGAGAUGAAACCACAGAAAUUGUUGCAAUGUGUUUAAAAAUGAGAUAGACGCCGGACACGGUUGCUCGGGCAGAUCACGACGUCAAGAGAUCAAGACCAUCCUGGCCAACAUGGUGAAACCCCGUCUCUACUAAAAACACAAAAAUUAGCUGGGAGUGGUGGCGCACGCCUGUAGUCCCAGCUACUCAGAAGGCUGAGGCAGGAGAAUCACUUGAACCUGGGAGGCGGAGGUUGCAGUGAGCCGAGAUUGCGCCACUGCACUCCAACCUGGCAACAGGGU